CAUGUCUUUUUGAUUUUAAUUUAAGGUUUAAUCUGCUCAAUGAUUAUUUAAAUUGCCGCAGUAUUUUAACUGUGCAAAGGUAGCAUAAUAAUUAGUUUCUUGAUUAGGGGCUGGAAUGAAUGAUUUGACGAGAAAAUUACUGUCUCUUGUUAAUUGGUAGUUGAAUUUUAUUUUUAAGUUAAAAAGCUUAAAUAUUAAUAAAAGACGAGAAGACCCUAUAGAGUUUAAUAUUGAUUUAUGUUAAUUUUUAGUAAUUUAAUAAUAAUAAGAUAUUUAGUUGGGGUGACUUAAAGAUUAAAUUAAUUCUUUAAUUUAUUUAUUGUUGAUAAAUAAAUUUAUAAUCUAUAUUUUUAAAUAUAAUAUAAAUUACCUUAGGGAUAACAGCGUUAUUUUUCUUUAGAGUUCUUAUUAAAAGAAAAGAUUGCGACCUCGAUGUUGGAUUAAAAUUUAUUUUUGGAGUAGUUGCUUUAAAAUUAGGUCUGUUCGACCUUUAAAAUUUUACAUGAUCUGAGUUUAAAUCGGUGUAAGCCAGAUUGGAUUCUAUCUUUAAUAAAAUAUAUUAUUUUAGUACGAAAGGACCAAAUAUUUAUUAAAUAUUAAUUGUUAUUUUGGCAGAUUAGUGUGUUUGAUUUAGAAUCAUUUUAAGUAAUUAUUUUACAAAUAAUAUUUGAUUUUAUAUGAUUUAAUUAAGUUAACUUUAUCUUUGGUAUUACUUGUAAUUUUAAUUUUGAUUGGAGUAGCUUUUUUUACUUUGUUAG
RNAcentral lists this ribosomal RNA (758 nucleotides) under Erotides taiwana. RNAcentral's name for it is "partial 16S ribosomal RNA". The stretch from base 377 to 535 matches the Rfam family "Bacterial large subunit ribosomal RNA", at positions 2473 to 2632 of the family's 2925-position model. Lineage: Eukaryota; Metazoa; Arthropoda; Insecta; Coleoptera; Lycidae. The record is from RNAcentral.